RNAcentral lists this ribosomal RNA (253 nucleotides) under uncultured bacterium. RNAcentral's name for it is "partial 16S ribosomal RNA". It matches the Rfam family "Bacterial small subunit ribosomal RNA", at positions 524 to 776 of the family's 1533-position model. The record is from RNAcentral.
UACGUAGGGGGCAAGCGUUGUCCGGAAUCAUUGGGCGUAAAGAGCGUGUAGGCGGCUCGAUAAGUCUGCUGUGAAAGUCCAGGGCUCAACCUUUGAACGCCGAUGGAUACUGCCGGGCUAGAGUCCGGAAGAGGCGAGUGGAAUUCCUGGUGUAGCGGUGGAAUGCGCAGAUAUCAGGAGGAACACCAAUAGCGAAGGCAGCUCGCUGGGACGGUACUGACGCUGGGGCGCGAAAGCGUGGGGAGCGAACAGG